AUUGACUACUCGUACAUGCGGUUCCGAGCGCGCCGGCCACGCCCACCUGACGACGUUCGCUACGUUUUGUAGCU
This 74-nucleotide small RNA is filed under the name Xanthomonas citri. Its description in RNAcentral is "sX9 sRNA". It matches the Rfam family "Xanthomonas sRNA sX9". Lineage: Bacteria; Pseudomonadati; Pseudomonadota; Gammaproteobacteria; Lysobacterales; Lysobacteraceae. RNAcentral also lists the same sequence under 8 other names. The record is from RNAcentral.